UACGUAGGGAGCGAGCGUUGUUCGGAAUUAUUGGGCGUAAAGGGCAUGUAGGCGGUAAUGCAAGUCUGGUGUGAAAUGCCGGGGCUCAACCCCGGAACUGCGUUGGAAACUGCAUUACUUGAGUCACUGAGGGGCAGCCAGAAUUCCAGGUGUAGGGGUGAAACCUGUAGAUAUCUGGAAGAAUACCAAUGGCGAAGGCAGGCUGCCAGCAGAUGACUGACGCUGAGGUGCGAAGGUGCGGGGAGCAAAC
Molecule: ribosomal RNA, 250 nt
Filed under: uncultured prokaryote
Description: partial 16S ribosomal RNA
Rfam family: Bacterial small subunit ribosomal RNA
Source: RNAcentral